AGAGUUUGAUCCUGGCUCAGGACGAACGCUGGCGGCGUGCCUAAUACAUGCAAUUCGAACGAACUCUGGUAUUGAUUGGUGCUUGCAUCAUGAUUUACAUUUGAGUGAGUGGCGAACUGGUGAGUAACACGUGGGAAACCUGCCCAGAAGCGGGGGAUAACACCUGGAAACAGAUGCUAAUACCGCAUAACAACUUGGACCGCAUGGUCCGAGUUUGAAAGAUGGCUUCGGCUAUCACUUUUGGAUGGUCCCGCGGCGUAUUAGCUAGAUGGUGGGGUAACGGCUCACCAUGGCAAUGAUACGUAGCCGACCUGAGAGGGUAAUCGGCCACAUUGGGACUGAGACACGGCCCAAACUCCUACGGGAGGCAGCAGUAGGGAAUCUUCCACAAUGGACGAAAGUCUGAUGGAGCAACGCCGCGUGAGUGAAGAAGGGUUUCGGCUCGUAAAACUCUGUUGUUAAAGAAGAACAUAUCUGAGAGUAACUGUUCAGGUAUUGACGGUAUUUAACCAGAAAGCCACGGCUAACUACGUGCCAGCAGCCGCGGUAAUACGUAGGUGGCAAGCGUUGUCCGGAUUUAUUGGGCGUAAAGCGAGCGCAGGCGGUUUUUUAAGUCUGAUGUGAAAGCCUUCGGCUCAACCGAAGAAGUGCAUCGGAAACUGGGAAACUUGAGUGCAGAAGAGGACAGUGGAACUCCAUGUGUAGCGGUGAAAUGCGUAGAUAUAUGGAAGAACACCAGUGGCGAAGGCGGCUGUCUGGUCUGUAACUGACGCUGAGGCUCGAAAGUAUGGGUAGCAAACAGGAUUAGAUACCCUGGUAGUCCAUACCGUAAACGAUGAAUGCUAAGUGUUGGAGGGUUUCCGCCCUUCAGUGCUGCAGCUACGCAUUAAGCAUUCCGCCUGGGGAGUACGGCCGCAAGGCUGAAACUCAAAGGAAUUGACGGGGGCCCGCACAAGCGGUGGAGCAUGUGGUUUAAUUCGAAGCUACGCGAAGAACCUUACCAGGUCUUGACAUACUAUGCAAAUCUAAGAGAUUAGACGUUCCCUUCGGGGACAUGGAUACAGGUGGUGCAUGGUUGUCGUCAGCUCGUGUCGUGAGAUGUUGGGUUAAGUCCCGCAACGAGCGCAACCCUUAUUAUCAGUUGCCAGCAUUAAGUUGGGCACUCUGGUGAGACUGCCGGUGACAAACCGGAGGAAGGUGGGGAUGACGUCAAAUCAUCAUGCCCCUUAUGACCUGGGCUACACACGUGCUACAAUGGAUGGUACAACGAGUUGCGAACUCGCGAGAGUAAGCUAAUCUCUUAAAGCCAUUCUCAGUUCGGAUUGUAGGCUGCAACUCGCCUACAUGAAGUCGGAAUCGCUAGUAAUCGCGGAUCAGCAUGCCGCGGUGAAUACGUUCCCGGGCCUUGUACACACCGCCCGUCACACCAUGAGAGUUUGUAACACCCAAAGUCGGUGGGGUAACCUUUUAGGAACCAGCCGCCUAAGGUGGGACAGAUGAUUAGGGUGAAGUCGUAACAAGGUAGCC
Molecule: ribosomal RNA, 1527 nt
Filed under: Lactiplantibacillus pentosus
Lineage: Bacteria; Bacillati; Bacillota; Bacilli; Lactobacillales; Lactobacillaceae
Description: Lactobacillus pentosus 16S ribosomal RNA
Rfam family: Bacterial small subunit ribosomal RNA
Source: RNAcentral